This is a long non-coding RNA of Homo sapiens (human), 3667 nucleotides long. RefSeq lists it as uncharacterized. The record is from RefSeq and is a predicted model, not a curated record. The transcript is spliced from 2 exons. Lineage: Eukaryota; Metazoa; Chordata; Mammalia; Primates; Hominidae.
GUCUUGCUCUGUCACCCAGGCUGGAUGCAGUGGCGCGAUCAUAGCCCACCUCAAGUUUGAAUUCCUAAACUCAAGGGAUCCUCCUGCCUUGGCCUCCCAAAGUUCUGGAAAUACAGGCAUGAGCCACUGCACUUGCCCUCUAAUCAGUCUUUUAAAGAGCUAUGAAGUGCUCCUCACUUUUGUGCUCUGUGCAGUGUUAAAUAUACAAACAAAAUAAACUAGGAAUAAAUCGACAUCAGUGUUUAAGAAAAGUGUUACAUGUAUGUGAUGGGAUAUGAGCUAGAAUAAGGAGAGGCAGGGCACUAUAGGCUUUUAAAUUAUUAAAAUUUUGUAUUAUACAGGAAAGAAAGUUAUGAAGAAGGUGGCUUUAUUGGGACUCUCAGUUACAAGACACAGAAAUCCAACUUGAACCAGCUUAAGCAAAAAGGAAUUUAUCUUUCAUGUAACUAACCACCGAAAGAUUAGGGGUAGAGCCAGACUCAGGGACAAUGGGAUUGAGGAGUUCAAACAUCCUCAAGUCUUUGCCUUUUUCCCUCUCCUCUCUCAUCUUCACAGUCUUUUUUCUAGAUUGGCUUCAUUCCACUGGGAAGACUGGAACCACAGCCACUUAGAGCUCUGGGCAUUCUUUUGUACAAGUGCUUGAAAACAUUUCCUGCCAGCUCUAAUGAGAACUCCUGUGGCCAGGAACAAGGCUACAUGUAAAACCACCAGAAGUGAAGGUGUGGAGACCAUUAUCAGUUGUAAGGCCCAAAGUCUGACUUGGGAAAUGGGGAAGAAGUCAUCAAAACACACAUUUUUGCAACCGGGCUGUCUACUGUUGCACUCAAACUCUUUCUGCUCAUCUUUCCACACGUGCUCUGCUGCCACCAUGUAGACCAGCAAACGGAAGACAAACACGACAGCCAGCCAAAUCCAUCCAGUCCCAGUGGAGUAUUUAUUUACUCCACUCAGGAGAUCUCUGAGGAACAUCCAACUCAUGACUUAGGCUCAAAAGAAGGCAAGACUCUGCAAAAUAAGACAAUUUCAUCAGGAUCCAUUUAUUUCUAUUCUACAGAUCGUUUCUACUAUUUGAGGGAUUAUGUAAGAUAAAUUACAAUUUCUGCAUUAUAACAACUCUGGUGGUUUAGGGCUCUCUAAGAAUCCCGAAGGAUAUGCUGUCUUACAUACAAGGAGAUGAUACAACUGGCCCAUGGACAUAAUUAAUCCCAUGUCCACUUUAAUUUGAGAUUUGGUUGGUCAUCUACCCCACCGCCCACUACCCCAUUUUCAAACAAUUCUGUGGUUGGCAAAAUCUUUCUAGUUUAUUGCUUCCCUCUAAAGAUGGAUGGGUCAUGUUACUGAUAUGAAGAGAAUUAGACAUGAAUAUCAAGGUGAUCCUGGUAUCUUGAGAUGUCCUUCACAUACCAGAUUGUUGACGCUAUAGUCUCUACUCACUUUCUCUAAUUCGUUAAUGCCCUUCCCAGUCCUUAAGGUUUAUUACCUGCCCCUGCUUCUUCUUGGUUCCCAUAUCCCAUAUCAGCAGCUCAGCUUGCCACCAAUUUGAUAAUGAAAAGUGAAGCUCCCCAAUACAAAUUUCCUUAAACUCUGCUCCUUCACCCUCCAGACUGACAUAUUCAUACCAAAUUUACCUUCUUUACCCAGUUUGGAAAGAGAGUCUCCCUCUUCUUACCCCAAAAUAAUCAUUCACGCUCUAUAUCCCAUUCUUGAUCUAUCAGUUUUCUGUGUUUUGUAUUCUGUGGUCUUCAAUCUCCCGUCUCCUUUCUCUCAGUAUACAAAUAUGCUUAAGUGUUGUCCAUUUUUAGUGGGGGAGAGGGAGAAUCUUCAUAGCUUAUCUUGUUGACAGUCUUUCUUCCUUUAUUCCUCAUUUCUACUUCCUCAACUGUUAUUUACUCCUCAACUCAUUGAGUCUAGUUUUUCUGCUCAUCAUUGUACUUAACGUUUAUGCUAAAGUUAGCACUGUCAUGCAACUGCCAAAUCUUCUGGACACUUGGAUUUUAUGUAAUUUUCCUGUGACAUUUGACACUGUUGCCUGUGCUUGCAUUCCUGAAACUUCUUCAGACUUGAGUUCUAUACCACUCUACCCUCUCUUCUUGUUUCACGCCUCCUGAUUCUUUCAUCUUCGUUUUUGUUGUCCACCUCUUAAGAAUUCUGUCCUUUGCUCUUUUCUUACUCUUUAUGCUCUCCCUAGAAAAUCUCACUCAUCCCCAUGGAUUCGACUUCUGCUUUCACCUUCCUGACUCUCCCUAAACCUACACAGCUCCCUGCCUCAUGAUGAUCAUCUAAAUGUCCCACAAGAAUUCUGAACUUGAUACAUCUACAACUGAAUUUAUUCUUUUCCUUGCCCUUCAACUUCAUUCUUAUUGAAUGGCAUCACCAACACCCAAGCGCCUGUCAGAAAUCUCAUAUUCAUCCUAGACUCCUCUCUCAUGACCUUUUUAAUUGCCCACAAAGUUCUUCAGAUUCCUCCUAAAUGCAUCUCAAAUCCAUCUCCAGGUCACUGCUGAAAUCUCUGUCACUCCUACAACUCUCAUUAGGUUCUAUUUCCAGUCUCAUUAUCUCCUUCCCUCCCCUUCUAGUACAUCCACGAUGCUAUUUAAUUCUCUUAAACUUCUUCGCAUCUCUUGCUCUUUUCUCAAUAAAAGCUAAUAAGAAUCUGAAGAGCCUUCUUUUUCAUUUCGGUGACAUUUUCUUUCUGGCACUGACUGCUUCCAUCUUAUCAUUGAACUUCGUGGGAUGGGCCUGAUUCAUUGUUUGUUGGGUCCAUGAUAUGCUCAGAACUCUGUUCUGUGCUUUUGAGUUGAUCUCUCAAAACCACUCUGAAAGGUGGUUUUUGUUUUUGUUUUUGUUUUGUCUUUGUUUGCCUUAUGAUGGUGGUGGUUUUAUUCUUGCAAAUGAAAAGGCAGACUCAGAAAUGAAGACACUUUCUCAAGGUCACAAAGUAAGAUGCAGAGCAGGGCUCAAGUCUAAUUUCCAUUAACUGACAGCAAGGUUUCUCAACACUUGCACCAUACACAUUUUGGGCUGAUUAAUUCUUUGUUUCAGCAGCUGUCCUGUGCAUUGUAGGAAGUUUAGUAGCAUCUCUGGCUCCUAGCAGCUAGAAACCAGUAGCCAACCCUGUCCCCUACCAUUUGUGACAACAAAAAAUGUCUCCAUAUAUUUUCAAAUGUCCCCUGGAGAGAGAAGACAAAAUCUUCCCAGUUGAGAGCCACUGCUUUAACUUUCUACCAUAACCUGUAGAUAUGGGCUAGAGCUCCAGGCCUGCCAUGAAUUUACUUUAUAAUUUCUCAGGUGAAAACUUUGCCUUUUCAGGUCCUGUUUCCUAUAGUACAAUAAUUAAUACUUCUUGUUUUCUGCAUAGACUCAGCCAAAAGAGAAUCAUGGAAAUGGUGGUGUGAGUGGAAACGGGGAGUUAAGAAAACUGAGAUGUUCCAACAGCACACAUGUUGGGAGCAUAAUACAUGUUCUCUUACAGAGGAAGCAAUAUAGAGCAAGCCCACAUUCCAGAGCCCUGAGAAGGCAAAUGAAGGCUAAGAGGUAUUUUCAGGGAAAACAAAGCUACAUGUACACAAUGCCCUAUUCAGCAGGGAAUAAAUACUUCAAUGUCCUUGGUUUUCAGAACACAAACAAAAUUGUAUUAAAUAAAAAGGAUUCUUAAGCCUACCGGAAA